This is a long non-coding RNA of Heterocephalus glaber (naked mole-rat), 1082 nucleotides long. RefSeq lists it as uncharacterized. The record is from RefSeq and is a predicted model, not a curated record. Lineage: Eukaryota; Metazoa; Chordata; Mammalia; Rodentia; Bathyergidae.
CAGUGGUACAGUACUAAUGGGGAGGGGUUGGUUGGGAGUCAGCUCAGGGGUCUGCACCUGUGUAGUCCCAGCACUUGGGAGGCUGAGGUGAAAGAAUCACUUGAACCCAGGAGUCGGAGCCAACCUGAGCAACAUAGAGAUACUGCAUCACCCCCCCAUCCUGCCAAAAAGGAGAAAGAAGGAUUGAACUCUGGUCCUUGAGCUUGCGAGGCACGUGGUGGGACCACGGAGCUAAAUUCCCAGCCCUGGUGGUAAUUAGGAUAAGAUGCGGUCAUGAGGAUGCGGCCUCGUGACUUCUUCCUGGUUUCAUCCGACGAGAAAGAGAGACCCAAGCUAGCGAGCUUGCUGUGUCUUGCUCUGUGCUGCCAUGGGACUCUUCCGAGUCCCCACCGACAUGAGGCCCUCCACAGAUCUUGAACUUCCCAACUUCCAUCACAGUGAGCCAAAGUGAAUCUGCAGCAGCUCCUGGGUCCACCGUGGAGGAGGUGCUACUGUCACUGUCAGAAGUAACGCAACCCCAGGGCCAAGCCCUGUGCCCAAGAGAUGCUACAGCACUGAGGAAGAGCUGGUGUCCCCUGGCCUCUGUCCUGGUCUCCAGAGUGUAUUGCUCAUCUCACUGAGGGCCAGAUCCUACUCGUGCUCAGCUGGGUUGCCAGUUCUCAUGGAACAAACCAGGAAGUCCCGUGGGCCUCUGAGUGAGGCCUUCCUCCCCACCAAGCACGAGGAUACAAGGUAGAGCAGGCUGCAAAGUGUCCUUCAAAGAAGGCAAUCGGGUCCUGAUUCCUACAGCCUGUACCUGUUACCUGGCUUGGGAAAGGAGGGAUCUUGGGAGGCUAACAGUUUGCAGGAUUACCCAGUGUAAUCACCUGGCCUUUGUCAGAGGGAGGCCAAGGAAGCUUUCACAGGGGGAAGAGAAGGCAGUACAGCCACAGAGGCAGUGCCUGGACUCCCAGCUGCACGGCUCCGGAAGGCUGAUGGCCACUAGCAGCUGGAACAAGAAUGGGAAGGGCUCUCCCCUAGUCCUUUGAAGGGAGUGUGGGCUUCUUGCCUCCAGAAUGGAGAAUAAAUUUCUACUGUUUUAA